Molecule: non-coding RNA, 83 nt
Organism: Caenorhabditis elegans
Lineage: Eukaryota; Metazoa; Nematoda; Chromadorea; Rhabditida; Rhabditidae
Source: Ensembl
AACCUAUUCAAAAUCAUGGCGAUCGAUACGAUCGAGAACGGGUAGUCUGUACACGAGAGCACGUAACCGUCUGACGAGCUCAU